UGUCCAGCUAACGUCCGGAGAGCU
Molecule: unclassified non-coding RNA, 24 nt
Filed under: Mus musculus (house mouse)
Lineage: Eukaryota; Metazoa; Chordata; Mammalia; Rodentia; Muridae
Description: oocyte_clustered_small_RNA12893
Source: RNAcentral